UAUCUCCCCAGCGCCUGGCAGGCAGGUGUGGGGUGUCACAUUGUGUGCCAAUAAUGAUGGCCACCUGGGAUGGAGGAGGGGGAAGUCUGGGGACGUCUCUAACACUUGACAUGGCGCAUCUUCCAAGUACAUAAACAGAAUGCACGUGAGUCCAGCUCAGUGGGUACUCGCGGAUGCAUGGGAAAGAACGCUUCAGCGAAGGCAGUCACUGCCACAAGCUCUUGUAUGCGGCUCCACUUUUCCAUCUGAAUAUCGACCAAAUGCUAUCUUAGCUGCAACACAGCUGUUUGUCCUUCAUGUAGCAGCAAAGACUGUGUUGGCUUCUUCUACUUUCACAUUUUCCUGUCUCCUGCCGUGUGUGUUAGUUGGUUGAUCAGUCAGUCAUGCUCUGCCUGAGGGAGGUGAACCUGGUGGGAGUUUGUUAGCAUCAAUGGAGGAAGAAGAUGGCGCGGGACAAGAUGGAAGCUGCAAACCUACACGAAGGAAACUGGAGUUUGGGGGGUAAGUUCCAAGUUAGGGGCAAUAGCCCAGCGGGGAGGUAGGCGAGGGGGCAGGGUUUUAGCGCCCAUGGGGUUGAAUUCCCCUUUAAGACAUACCGUUAAAUCCAUAAGCCUCCUGCUCACCAGUGGAUAGCACAUCAACCCCCAGCACAUGCUUAAAAAUAAAAUGAUUGUUAUGGUGCCCUCCCCAUAACAAUUAUUUCAAAAUGCUAAAACAGGGGAGUCCAUUCACAGCAAAUCAUAAUGUGAAUGCCACUAGGAAAUGCUAUUUUUAGAAAAUACACUGGAUCCUAGAGGAUUCUCGUUUUCCAGAAAAGCAGAACAGGAUGUCCAUUCACGGUAUUCCAUAGUGUUUAACCCACUGGUAAAUAGACUCUUUACCAUGAAAUACACUAGAUCCUAGUGGAUUAUAGUAUCCCAGUAGAGCAGUACAGGAUGUCUGUUCAUACUAUCCUAGUGUAGCCCACUGGGAAAUACUAUUUACUGAAAAAAACACUAGAUCCUAGUGGAUAAUAUCCCUGGUAAGCAAAGAUGUAUGUAAGCAACAUACAAAAUACACUAGAUUCUAGUGUCUUAUAAUAUACCAGUAGAGCGGAGCAGAGAACCCACUAAGAGCAUAUUGUAUUGAGUUUCCCACUAGGAAAUAGACUCUGUGUAAAAUACACUAAAUCCUAGUUGCUGACAUUAUCCUAUAAGAACCAUGAUAUACUAUAAAGAGUAAAAGGGAGAGUAUACCUUUAAAAUAAAUGAGCUAAUUCAUACCCACUAAAAAUAAGUGGGAUGUAUUUUACAUGCACUAUAUUGUCUAGUUUCUAUUCAUUUUCCAACUAGAAAAUUGUUCCAUUAGCAACUUGGAACUAGCUAUGUCUGACUGGAUUGUCUAGUUUCUAUUACUGUACCUUUUCCCACUAGGAUUUAGCCCAACCACACUGAAAGAUCUAUUUCCUAAUCUGUAAAGAUUCUCUGUACCAUUAGCAACUUGGAUCUAGACGCAACGGUUUGACUGCAGUUCUCAGCGCCGCCUCCCCGCACUGCCUGUCUUAAUUACAGCUCAAACCAACUCCUGUGGGGUUGCAGGUCACAGCUCAGGCCAUUUUUGUGUGAGCAUUUCAAUUCAUUUGGACUACAGUGCUGCCCCUCAAGCUGUCAGACAAUGGCUUGUCCCGCAAACAAACAAUGGCUGAGGAGUGGCCGCUUCAUGGUCACAUGGGAUACACAGGGACACUGUACGUCCAGACAGAUUCCCAAUAGUUCAAUGGCUUUACAGGAAUUUGUCAGGAAACACUGUACUAAAAAGCGCUGAUUGAUGGAUGAAAAUGAAUUUAACAAAUAUCUUUUUAACUGUAUGAAAUAUUUUGCUCUAACUAGCAUAUUGCCUUUGUUUCCCUCCACUGCUUCAGACAGUCCUUCCUGCCAUGCAGGGCAAAUCCAGUUGGUAGUGGACUGUACAGAGACAGCCAAUCAGGAGUACGUUUAUAUGGGAACUAAUCCUUAUGAGCCUUGUGUUUUUGCUUCUAAUUGGCUCCUGCUCCUUAACCUACUGGAAAGCCUGUACAUCCCAUAAGAGCUGUGACUAGCGGUGACACCUUUGCUGGUGGCUAAACCCAAACAGUAGGGGCGGGGAAGAUCGCAUUGGGGGUGGAGCAGUGAUCUUGGGUUGGGCAUGAUGACAUCAGAGGAAGCCACAAUGAUGUCAUGGAGCUAUGAUGCCGGGUCAGGAUUAUUACAUCACUUCAAUGCAAAUGGCUGGAUUUCUGUCCAGUUUUCGCAAUGUUUUAAAUGGGACAGAAAGUUUUGAACAGACAGGCCUUUCACAAACUGAGUUGUCCACUUGAAACCCACACAGCUGGAAACCCUACCUCUAUCUAUUCUGCCUGAUGAGUAAGACCAAUCCUUUAGCUACAGGUACGGGAUCUAUUAUACAGAAAUCAGUUAUCCAGAAAGCUCUGAAAUACAGCAAUGCUCAUUUAGAAAAAAUAUUUCUUAUUUUUGAUUGAUGUGCUUAUAACAAGAAAUUAACUGCACUCCAUAUUUAAUAACUACGCCAUGUCAAGGUGAGUAUCUUGGUAUUUAAUUGGUUUUCAUCUGGCCAGAUUAUUGUUCGGUUUUCACAAGGCUGAAAACCGAACAGAAAGUUGAGACCCGAACAGGCCUUAGGAAACCCGAACUGUUAAGGUCAAAACUGAACGGCAACCCUAGCUGUGACAUUGUACUGGCAGAUACAUUAGAUAGCUUCAGGAUGGGGUUGGAAGGCUUAGUGACAGAUAUAAAAAAUACCCUUGGUAAUAUGUAGAGCCAUGGACUGGUCCAGUUUAAGUUUUGGCAUCAUGAAUGAUUGUGUUCCCCUCUUCUGGGGCAAACUGAACGUGGCUUCAACUUUAUUAUUGUUUUCAAUGGAUCAGCUAGAGGUUAGGGAGGUUUUACUGCUCAACAAACUACAAAGGGUGAUUUUGUUGGAGGUAUUUUUACCACCUUCAACUUUUGUAUAACUAUGUACUAAGUAACACUAGCUAGCCUCCUUUAUGGGGUGCAAAUAUGGGCAAUGACUGGGCCACAAUUAAGCAAAAUGUUUGCCACUAGAUUCUUCCACACCCCCUCAUCCCAAUACCAGUGCUGUGCAAGCAGGAAGAGUGCCCAAGGCAAGCCGCCGAUCACAUCCACCCCUAUGCCCAUUGAGAAAGAUAGAGAUAAGCAGAGUGACAAGAAGCCCAGAACCCCUGCUUGCCACCACAAAAAGUCCAUAUGACAAUCCUCUAGUAGCCUCACCUAAGGAAAGGCAGGAGAUUUACAUGCUUAGCUACCCAACCUUUCACACCUCUUCUUUACUUUCUGUGAUGUUGUUCAGUGAAUGGCAGACCAAGGGCUUCUCCUAGCUCUUCCCUUUGCUGACUGUGAUCAAUGGUGUAUUGGCUGUUGCUCAUCAGCAGAAAUGAUCACCCACUUGCCAUUACAAACUCCUUUAAUGGUCGGGCACAAAAACUGGUAAGUAACUGUAUAUACUAUAUCUGUACAAUAUUACAUAGCUGCAUUCAUCAUUACAUUCUUUAUCAGAUAUAAAAACUCAAGCUGCCAUCAGUUGUAAAAUAAAAUGGCUGCUGGGGUUCCAUUACAGUAGAUGAGGUUGUAGACAGGUAAAAUAAUUUUGCCUGCUUACAGCAUGGAACAAGAUGGACAUUUCCAUGGAUGGAAUGCACAAAACCAUUCCUGUAACCUCUAGUGAAGCAGACAAUGAGAAUUAAUUCUGCUCCGGUGCAUCACACACACUGGAAGGAAUUCCAACAUUAGCAUAAGAAGAGGAAAACAUGGCAGCUGUCCUGCCUCGCCUUCACUCAUGCAAUUUGUGUUAGGAAGCUGAAAAAGGAUUAGGCAGAAUAGCUAAUAAUUCCACUUCUGUACAUCACUGUGUAAUUCAGUGUUAAUACAAGAAGUCUGGCACUUAUUUAAAGAGGUUAAGUGAAAUAUAAAUAUUUUGUUAUUAAAUAGUAUAUGAGGUUCAGUAAAAUGAAUGAAAUGUUGUGUAAUGUUGCCCUAAAGGCACAAUUAGAAAUUGCUGUAAUCUGAAUACUGUGGUUUCUCUAUACACAUGCAUGCUCUAACCACAACAGAAAUGCUACAAUGUCACCUUGACUUUGGGAAGAGGAAACCUGAACAGCUAUAGCUAAAAGGAAUGAGCUUGUAUUAAUUAUUCAUGUACAUACAACAGAAACAAGUUGUCAGGGAUAUAUUGUUUCCUUCGUUGCAGUGCCAGGUCAGUUGAGGGGUGUUUAGGAGCGAGAUGAGAUAGGUCAGCAAGCAGUUUUUAGUGGCUUGGUUUUCUUGAUACUACACAUGAAAUGGUCUAUAUAUGUUUUAUAGGUAAAGAAAAGGUUCUACUUUACGUGGACACUAAUACAUGCGCUGCCAGGACAGUCAACCCUAUUUGCACCCAGGCCGAGACUGGCAAUCUGUGGUUUCUGGCAAAUGCCAGAGGGGCUGCCAUAAUAUGCUAUAGAACAUCAUUAUUUAGUGGGCUGGUGGGGAGCUGAUUGGGCCUCUCUGAACUGUAAUGCCUGGACCUAUUUUUACUACCAGUCCAGACCUGCCUACCACCCAAUUUAUUAGGCAAUUAUGUAUGUCUGUGUAAACAGAAAUAUAAAAAAAAAAUUUUUGGAAAUUGAAAUAGUAUUUAUGAACCUUUUUUCAAAAGGCCAAGUUUAUAAUUUUCCUUUAAUGUCAUAAUUCUGCUGUUAUAUGUAAAAACAAGAAUAAUGAAGUUCCACAAUGUCUAAGCCUACAGGAGUAUAAAUGAAAAGUAACUGCAAAAAUACAAUAAAAUAACAGGCCUGACAGGGCAGCUCCUGCAUUGAGAUCCUUACUGUAGGUGCCAGUGUGUGGCAGGCUAUGAGGUUUGCCACUUUUGGUAACUUUAAGAGCUGAACGCCCAGAAUUCAAGCCUAUUGGUUGUUCUGAAUGAUGCAUCUUUCCUUUAGUUCCUUAGUGAUAAAACAGGAUAAUACAUUCUCCUAAUUAUCUACUUAUUACAUUUUAAUAUAUUCCAUACCUGAGUAAGUUGAAUGAUUGAUUCAUCUUUAUUAACAUAGCUGUGUGUAUAAAUAUGCAUGAAAAUGAUGUAUUCAGAGUGGCAAUGGAACUGUCUGACAAACUCGAGCUAUGGAGGCAGCACUAAGCUACUAAUUACCACACUCAUCCUAGAAUUUUGUGACACAGAAGUAAUCCAGUGGCCCUAAAAAUGAAUAUAGUGUCUCUGUAUAAUGAUAAUGAAUGAUCAUUCAUACAAUCCAUUGGUCAACUAGAAGAUACAGGAUGAUUUUUGGAAGAAGGCCCUACCUAAUACCUCAUCACACAAGUACAAUUCUAUUUCUCAUACACCAGAAAUAAACAGUUGAU
Molecule: long non-coding RNA, 5387 nt
Organism: Xenopus laevis (African clawed frog)
Lineage: Eukaryota; Metazoa; Chordata; Amphibia; Anura; Pipidae
Exons: 2
Source: RefSeq, a predicted model, not a curated record